UCUUGAGCAAGAAUAGGGCAAGACCUCCGGAGAUUAUCUAUGAAGACUUUAGGAGUGUUUGAAGGUGUCCAGAAGUGCUCAUAUGGCUGUGCAAAGAUAGGGCCAAGUCCAGGAGGGACUUAGAAGAGUGUUUGGGAGCAAAUGGGCAAGUGUGCAUACUUAGGGCGAGGCAGUACGGAUGGUACGGACCUGUACGGAUCCGUACGGACCGAGACAACCCGAGGAAACACAACUUGGCCAUUUGAGAUGUUUUGAGGUGGUGCAAAGUCCGGG
RNAcentral lists this long non-coding RNA (273 nucleotides) under Brassica rapa (field mustard). RNAcentral describes it as "long non-coding RNA (BRAP_LNC008219)". Lineage: Eukaryota; Viridiplantae; Streptophyta; Magnoliopsida; Brassicales; Brassicaceae. The record is from RNAcentral.